RNAcentral lists this ribosomal RNA (207 nucleotides) under uncultured Acinetobacter sp. Its description in RNAcentral is "partial 16S ribosomal RNA". It matches the Rfam family "Bacterial small subunit ribosomal RNA", at positions 568 to 774 of the family's 1533-position model. Lineage: Bacteria; Pseudomonadati; Pseudomonadota; Gammaproteobacteria; Moraxellales; Moraxellaceae. The record is from RNAcentral.
CGCGUAGGUGGCCAAUUAAGUCAAAUGUGAAAUCCCCGAGCUUAACUUGGGAAUUGCAUUCGAUACUGGUUGGCUAGAGUAUGGGAGAGGAUGGUAGAAUUCCAGGUGUAGCGGUGAAAUGCGUAGAGAUCUGGAGGAAUACCGAUGGCGAAGGCAGCCAUCUGGCCUAAUACUGACACUGGGGUGCGAAAGCAUGGGGAGCAAACA